GACCGCUGGUGUGAAACCCAGAGGAAGGCGAGGGCAACGACAGGUCAGUAUGCCCCGAAUGUCCUGGGCUACACGCGCGCUACAAAGGACGGGACAAUGGGAAGCUAGGCCGAGAGGCCACGCUAACCCGAAACCCGUUCAUAGUUCGGAUUGAGGGCUGUAACUCGCCCUCAUGAAGCUGGAUUCCGUAGUAAUCGUGUUUCAAUAUAGCACGGUGGAUAUGCCCCUGCUCCUUGCACACACCGCCCGUCAAACCA
RNAcentral lists this ribosomal RNA (257 nucleotides) under uncultured archaeon. Its description in RNAcentral is "partial 16S ribosomal RNA". It matches the Rfam family "Archaeal small subunit ribosomal RNA", at positions 1103 to 1360 of the family's 1478-position model. The record is from RNAcentral.